This 73-nucleotide transfer RNA is filed under the name Stegodyphus mimosarum. It matches the Rfam family "tRNA". Rfam says of the family: Transfer RNA (tRNA) molecules are approximately 80 nucleotides in length. Their secondary structure includes four short double-helical elements and three loops (D, anti-codon, and T loops). The record is from Rfam by way of RNAcentral. Lineage: Eukaryota; Metazoa; Arthropoda; Arachnida; Araneae; Eresidae.
GCCUUCGUGGUGUAGUGGUCAGCACACUCGGCGCGUAUUCGAGAGGUCCAUGGUUCGAAUCCCGGCGAGGGCA